AACCUACGGGAGGCAGCAGUGAGGAAUAUUGGUCAAUGGACGAAAGUCUGAACCAGCCAAGUAGCGUGCAGGAUGACGGCCCUCCGGGUUGUAAACUGCUUUUAGUUGGGAAUAAAAAAAGGGACGUGUCCCUUAUUGUAUGUACCUUCAGAAAAAGGAACCGGCUAAUUCCGUGCCAGCAGCCGCGGUAAUGGUU
RNAcentral lists this ribosomal RNA (196 nucleotides) under uncultured bacterium. RNAcentral describes it as "partial 16S ribosomal RNA". It matches the Rfam family "Bacterial small subunit ribosomal RNA", at positions 335 to 530 of the family's 1533-position model. The record is from RNAcentral.